This 23-nucleotide ribosomal RNA is filed under the name Palaquium sp. Armstrong 370. RNAcentral describes it as "partial 26S ribosomal RNA". The record is from RNAcentral. Lineage: Eukaryota; Viridiplantae; Streptophyta; Magnoliopsida; Ericales; Sapotaceae.
CUCGACUGCGACCCCAGGUCAGG